This is a long non-coding RNA of Condylostylus longicornis, 1210 nucleotides long. RefSeq lists it as uncharacterized. The record is from RefSeq and is a predicted model, not a curated record. The transcript is spliced from 5 exons. Lineage: Eukaryota; Metazoa; Arthropoda; Insecta; Diptera; Dolichopodidae.
UAAAAAAACACCGUGUUAAUAUUUGUGCUCAGAUUUAGUUUAAAAAUUUUAAUGUGUUGUACGUAAUCUAGAGUAUUUAAAAUGUUUGCAGUAGUGGACGAAGUCACAAAGCGAAAUAGUAAAAUGACAUAUAGCUUAGCCGCUAAAAUUGCUAAAGAAAUUCAUGAAGUAUUUCCUCUAAAACGUGAGUCAACCUAUUUUCAUAAGACAUUUUCAUAUAAAAGGACAUCAACCAGGUGGAAAAAUUUUUUAUAAAUUUUUUAAUCAAAAAAGAUCUUUACAUAGUUUAGGACUUGAGAGGAACCCUGAAAAUAAUGAAAUUUCCACAAAGAAAUGCAAUUUUUUAGAAACGAAUGGAGAAAUCUCUGAAUAUUUAAAAAUUUUAAAAGGUCCAACAUUAACUCACACAGAGCUUGAAGAAAUUUGGAAAAAAACUAGCAAUUAUAGGUUGACACAAAUAUCCGCCAUGACCUCAACUAAUGACAUUUUGAAAGAAUGGUUACAGUACAAAGAUUCAUUGGGAUAUAAACUGUUUGAUAUUGAUUUUUUAAACUUAUUUCCCAAUGCAAAAAAUGCACUGCAAGAUAUUUCAAGUUUUCAUUUGAAAAUGAGAGAAAUAUUCACAGAGAGAAUAAAAGACGAAAAUUCAAAGGAACUAAUCGAAGUUCUGCAAAAUUACGAAAACUUUUUUUGAAAAUGGUAUAACUCUCACAACAAUGUAUUUACUGCAUAAUAUUGUCAGACCCACUGGACAUGUGACAACUGUGGAUAAAGGAAAAAAAAUUUCACCAUUCGAGACUCACAAAAUGCCUUCGUAAUUAUAGGAAGAACAGCUCAAAAUGUUGAAGAUUUAAUUCAAGAAAAAAUUCAAUCUCAAGAUUCUAUUCAACCUCUCCUGCUUGUUCAAGGUUGUAUCUCUAAUCCAGAGGCAAUAUUAGUUUACUUCGAUGGAAUAAGAUACAAAAUGUAUUCCAUAGCAAAAGCAGUAGAUACAUGUUUUAAAAUUUUUUACAUUUUUAAUUUAAAAUUUACAAUUCAAGCCAAUUUGUUUUGGAGGUUCGUCGCCAAUUUUUUUAUGGAAUAUGUAACAACACUAAUCAUUCAUCAGUUAAUAUUCUAAUUGAUGAAAUAAAUCAAAGUAGUAUUACUGAAAAAUAAUAUUUUAGCAUUGUGUAAUAUCUGCUAUGAUUUUUGUUAAAAUUUUCUAAAC